AACGCUAGCUACAGGCUUAACACAUGCAAGUCGAGGGGAAACGAUAGAGAAAGCUUGCUUUUUCUAGGCGUCGACCGACGCACGGGUGAGUAACGCGUAUCCAACCUGCCCACCACUUGGGGAUAACCUUGCGAAAGUAAGACUAAUACCCAAUGACGUCUCUAGAAGGCAUCUGAAAGGGAUUAAAGAUUUAUCGGUGAUGGAUGGGGAUGCGUCUGAUUAGCUUGUUGGCGGGGUAACGGCCCACCAAGGCUACGAUCAGUAGGGGUUCUGAGAGGAAGGUCCCCCACAUUGGAACUGAGACACGGUCCAAACUCCUACGGGAGGCAGCAGUGAGGAAUAUUGGUCAAUGGGCGAGAGCCUGAACCAGCCAAGUAGCGUGCAGGAUGACGGCCCUAUGGGUGUAAACUGCUUUUAUGCGGGGAUAAAUUGACUCACGUGUGGGUCAUUGCAGGUACCGCAUGAAUAAGGACCGGCUAAUUCCGUGCCAGCAGCCGCGGUAAUACGGAAGGUCCGGGCGUUAUCCGGAUUUAUUGGGUUUAAAGGGAGCGUAGGCCGUUGUUUAAGCGUGUUGUGAAAUGUCCCGGCUCAACCGUGGCACUGCAGCGCGAACUGGACGACUUGAGUGCGCGGAACGUAUGCGGAAUUUGUGGUGUAGCGGUGAAAUGCUUAGAUAUCACGAAGAACUCCGAUUG
This 695-nucleotide ribosomal RNA is filed under the name uncultured bacterium. RNAcentral's name for it is "bacterial SSU rRNA". It matches the Rfam family "Bacterial small subunit ribosomal RNA", at positions 32 to 715 of the family's 1533-position model. The record is from RNAcentral.